CCUUUGUCCAGUUCAGAAAAACUUUCUCUUAAAGAAGGUGUGCCCUUGAGUCAGGAGGAUGGCACUAAGUAUAGGAGUUUGGUGGGUGCACUUCAGUAUCUUACACUCACUAGGCCUGAUAUUUCAUUUGCAGUUAAUAAAGUAUGUCAAUUUCUCCAUGCACCUACCUCAGCUCACUGGACUGCUGCCAAACGUAUACUGAGAUAUGUGAAACAUACUUUGAAUGUUGGACUAACAUUUACCAAGUCAUCAUCUACUCUUGUCAGUGCGUUCUCUGACUCUGACUGGGCAGGUUGCUUGGAUGACAGGAGGUCCACAGGAGGCUUUGCUAUUUUCUUUGGUCCUAACUUGAUUUCUUGGUGUGCAAAGAAACAGGCAACUGUGUCAUGUUCCAGCACUGAGGCAGAAUAUAAGGCAUUGGCAAAUGCUACAGCAGAAAUUAUAUGGGUUAAGGCUAUGCUCAAGGAGCUUGGGAUAUGUCACACACAAACUCCAUGUCUUUGGUGUGACAAUAUUGGAGCAACAUAUCUUUCUGCUAACCCUGUUUUCCAUGCAAGAACCAAGCACAUUGAAAUUGAUUAUCACUUUGUCAGAGAAAUGGUUGCUAGCAAGGAACUGGAAAUUCGGUUUGUUCCUUCCAGA
Molecule: ribosomal RNA, 642 nt
Filed under: Triticum aestivum (bread wheat)
Lineage: Eukaryota; Viridiplantae; Streptophyta; Magnoliopsida; Poales; Poaceae
Description: partial small subunit ribosomal RNA
Source: RNAcentral